AACUCUGCUCCACAAAGUGAGUAGAAACCUGAGAGUUCACGGUAAUUAGAAUAUGUUCUUAUCAGUUUAAUCACUGAUACAUCCUGAAUGUGAGGACUGAGGGACUGGAUUUUUGGUGCCAGGAGAUGCCUGGGAGCUUGCUCCAGCAGCUCCAUGCACAGGCUUGGUAUCAGUACCCAAACCUGUUAGCCUCU
Molecule: small nuclear RNA, 194 nt
Filed under: Crocodylus porosus (Australian saltwater crocodile)
Lineage: Eukaryota; Metazoa; Chordata; Crocodylia; Crocodylidae
Description: U2 spliceosomal RNA (ENSCPRG00005001072.1)
Rfam family: U2 spliceosomal RNA
About the family: U2 is a small nuclear RNA (snRNA) component of the spliceosome (involved in pre-mRNA splicing). Complementary binding between U2 snRNA (in an area lying towards the 5' end but 3' to hairpin I) and the branchpoint sequence (BPS) of the intron results the bulging out of an unpaired adenosine, on the BPS, which initiates a nucleophilic attack at the intronic 5' splice site, thus starting the first of two transesterification reactions that mediate splicing.
Source: Rfam by way of RNAcentral